UUCAAAAUCCCUCACUUCUUCAAAAUCCAUAUCUUUCCUUCUUCCCCCACACUCCAUUUUCCUUCUUCAAAAUCCCUCCCCUCACUAAUGACGAACGACGCACGACGAAAACCCCAUUCUUCUCAUCUCCACAUCCUUUCUUCUCGACGACGGAGACCCACAGCGAGGAGACUCAUAUCGUUGCCGGUCAGGCUCGGUUUGUUUGAAUGCUAUCAACUAAACAUGGAGUCCUAUCUUUGAGACCUUGUAAAUGUUUUUGGAGAGUUCUUCCAAAAUCUAGUGCUUGUAAAGUAUAGCGAGUAAUUCUUCCUCAUACUUCAUUAUAUGUAUCAAGGUGUGUUGGGCAUAAAACUUUUUAGUGCACAUCAUUGAGCUUUUAAAUCCUUUGCAAAUGUAUGUACCUCUCACUGUGUUAUAGUUUUAUUGCCUCAUAAUGUAAGGGUUGUUGAGAAAGAAGACUUUGAAGAAGCUAUAAAAUUAAAACUAUUUGUGUUAUAGUUUCAACUUGA
This is a long non-coding RNA of Cucumis melo (muskmelon), 509 nucleotides long. RefSeq lists it as uncharacterized. The record is from RefSeq and is a predicted model, not a curated record. Lineage: Eukaryota; Viridiplantae; Streptophyta; Magnoliopsida; Cucurbitales; Cucurbitaceae. The transcript is spliced from 3 exons.